RNAcentral lists this ribosomal RNA (253 nucleotides) under uncultured bacterium. Its description in RNAcentral is "partial 16S ribosomal RNA". It matches the Rfam family "Bacterial small subunit ribosomal RNA", at positions 524 to 776 of the family's 1533-position model. The record is from RNAcentral.
UACAGAGGGUGCAAGCGUUGUUCGAAAUUAUUGGGCGUAAAGCGCGUCUAGGCGGCUUAUUAAGUCACUGGUGAAAUCCCUGGGCUCAACCCAGGAAAGUCCAGCGAUACUGAUAGGCUAGAGUACGAGAGGGGAGAGCGGAAUUCCCAGUGUAGAGGUGAAAUUCGUAGAUAUUGGGAGGAACACCUGUGGCGAAAGCGGCUCUCUGGUUCGAUACUGACGCUCAAGCGCGAAAGCGUGGGGAGCAAACAGG